ACUCCUACGGGAGGCAGCAGUGGGGAAUAUUGCACAAUGGGCGCAAGCCUGAUGCAGCCAUGCCGCGUGUGUGAAGAAGGCCUUCGGGUUGUAAAGCACUUUCAGUCGUGAGGGAAGGGUAGGUUAGUAGUUAAUGAGCAUGCUAUUAUUUGACGUUAGCGACAGAAGAAGCACCGGCUAACUCCGUGCCAGCAGCCGCGGUAAUACGGAGGGUGCGAGCGUUAAUCGGAAUUACUGGGCGUAAAGCGCAUGCAGGUGGUUUGUUAAGUCAGAUGUGAAAG
Molecule: ribosomal RNA, 281 nt
Filed under: uncultured bacterium
Lineage: Bacteria
Description: partial 16S ribosomal RNA
Rfam family: Bacterial small subunit ribosomal RNA
Source: RNAcentral